GGGAAUGUGGCUUAGUGGUAGAGUACUUGCCUGGCAUGCAUGAAGCCCUGGGUUCAAUUCCUCAGUACCA
Molecule: transfer RNA, 70 nt
Filed under: Dipodomys ordii (Ord's kangaroo rat)
Lineage: Eukaryota; Metazoa; Chordata; Mammalia; Rodentia; Heteromyidae
Rfam family: tRNA
About the family: Transfer RNA (tRNA) molecules are approximately 80 nucleotides in length. Their secondary structure includes four short double-helical elements and three loops (D, anti-codon, and T loops).
Source: Rfam by way of RNAcentral